This 254-nucleotide ribosomal RNA is filed under the name uncultured bacterium. Its description in RNAcentral is "partial 16S ribosomal RNA". It matches the Rfam family "Bacterial small subunit ribosomal RNA", at positions 524 to 776 of the family's 1533-position model. The record is from RNAcentral.
UACGGAGGAUCCAAGCGUUAUCCGGAAUUACUGGGCGUAAAGAGUUGCGUAGGCGGCAAAGUAAGCAAAAUGUGAAAUCGUGUGGCUCAACCACAUACCCAUAUUUUGAACUGCUUUGCUAGAGAAUGGAAGAGGUCGCUAGAAUUCCUGGUGUAGGGGUGAAAUCCGUAGAUAUCAGGAGGAAUACCGAUGGCGUAGGCAGGCGACUGGUCCAUUUCUGACGCUGAGGCACGAAAGCGUGGGGAGCGAUCGGG